Molecule: ribosomal RNA, 497 nt
Filed under: uncultured bacterium
Lineage: Bacteria
Description: partial 16S ribosomal RNA
Rfam family: Bacterial small subunit ribosomal RNA
Source: RNAcentral
GAUGAACGCUGGCGGCGUGCCUAAUACAUGCAAGUCGAGCGAACAGACGAGGAGCUUGCUCCUCUGACGUUAGCGGCGGACGGGUGAGUAACACGUGGAUAACCUACCUAUAAGACUGGGAUAACUUCGGGAAACCGGAGCUAAUACCGGAUAAUAUAUUGAACCGCAUGGUUCAAUAGUGAAAGACGGUUUUGCUGUCACUUAUAGAUGGAUCCGCGCCGCAUUAGCUAGUUGGUAAGGUAACGGCUUACCAAGGCAACGAUGCGUAGCCGACCUGAGAGGGUGAUCGGCCACACUGGAACUGAGACACGGUACAGACUCCGACGGGAGGCAGCAGUAGGGAAUCGUCCGCAAUGGGCGAAAGCCUGACGGAGCAACGCCGCGUGAGUGAUGAAGGUCUUCGGAUCGUAAAACUCUGUUAUUAGGGAAGAACAAAUGUGUAAGUAACUAUGCACGUCUUGACGGUACCUAAUCAGAAAGCCACGGCUAACUACGUG